CGUAGGCAGCGAGCGUUGUUCGGAGUUACUGGGCGUAAAGGGUGUGUAGGUCGGUUUUUUAAGUUUGGUGUGGAAUCUCCCGGCUCAACCGGGAGGGUGCGCCGAAUACUGAGGGACUAGAGUGCGGGAGAGGAAAGUGGAAUUCCUGGUGUAGCGGUGAAAUGCGUAGAUAUCAGGAGGAGCACCGGUGGUGUAGACGGCUUUCUGGACCGUAACUGACGCUGAGACACGAAAGCGUGGGUAGCAAACAGGAUUAGAUACCCUGGUAGUCCACGCCCUAAACGAUGCAUAUUUGGUGUGGGUCAUUCAGUUGAUCCGUGCCGGAGCUAACGCGUUAAAUAUGCCGCCUGGGGAGUACAGUCGCAAGGCUG
Molecule: ribosomal RNA, 371 nt
Filed under: uncultured organism
Description: bacterial SSU rRNA
Rfam family: Bacterial small subunit ribosomal RNA
Source: RNAcentral